GCACAUCCCUUCUGCUCUGGGACGCAGCUGUCAGUGAGGGUGGAGGCUGUCCUGCUGCAGAAAGCCGAGUUUCCAGUGCUGGGCCUUAAGAAAUAGAAGUUGAACCAACUGACUGAUAUUGAAGGUGUAGUAGAAGAAAUAUCAGAGCUUCAGCAAAUCCUUUUUAUGUGAAAUGUAACGGAAAAAUGGCUGCAAUACAUUUCAAGCAAAAGACAAGACGAGCACUUACAGACAUCUUAAGCGACCAAUUGAUUUGUUGAUGACACUGAUGAAGGACAGUGCCCCUUAGUAAA
Molecule: non-coding RNA, 293 nt
Organism: Taeniopygia guttata (zebra finch)
Lineage: Eukaryota; Metazoa; Chordata; Aves; Passeriformes; Estrildidae
Source: RefSeq, a predicted model, not a curated record